Molecule: long non-coding RNA, 1298 nt
Organism: Armigeres subalbatus
Lineage: Eukaryota; Metazoa; Arthropoda; Insecta; Diptera; Culicidae
Exons: 3
Source: RefSeq, a predicted model, not a curated record
AUACUGAUGUCAAUCCAUCUCUGGUGACAGUUGAAUGUAAACAAUCAACUUUCGGGACCAGUGCCAACCGAAAUCGCUCGAGGUUUCCGGAGGAACAGCGAUAGCGCAGGAGGAACAAAAUUACGGAGGCGGUAGUGCAAAGCGCAAACAUCGUCUGUGGAGUGUGAUAGUGAUGAAAAUGAUUUCACUGAAUUCUCGCCCCAGCAAAAACUCACCAAAGGCGCAGUCAUGAUCGUUGUGGGAGAAUUCUCCAUGGAACCAGAAGCAAGUGCUUGUGCUGUCUGGAGGCGACUUUUACAUCUAAUUUUCUUCCGAUAUGCCAUUACGGAACCGCCUCAUUGGCUUUAUUCUUCAAUUAAGAAUUGCCUAUAUUAUUGGUUCCGAUAAGCUUAUCACAGAAAUCGUUCUCUGGUGGAUGACGAUCAUGAAAAAUCCAGCGGAACGAUGCCACGAAGAGCUUAUGGCUUACGACUAUGACGGUUGCCGGUUGCAGGUGGUACUUUUUCCUUUCGCGAUCGAAACAAGCACAGCAGCAAAUGUUCAGAAAAUAUCAAAUUUCCGUCUUCUAUAUCGCAGACUGAAUAGUAUUCCCAGUUGCGUGAAUUUUCCGAACCACUUAUCACACGGAACAAUGAUUCCGCAAAUCAAUUCACCUGGAGGUGGGCGUCCGAAUCCGGAUCGGACAACAACAUUACAUUAGGAGAGAUGGCCGAUUGGGUCAGUAUGGAAUGGGAUGACCCACAGGGAGGGAAACAUUCCGGAACGGUAAAUGGAGUUGAAUAUGUUGAAAUGGAAAAGAUCGGCAGAGAUCGCAGCAGAGUAACUUAAGCUACUUGGUGGACGUAUUGAUGGCUUAUUCACCAGUAAAUUCCACAAGGGAUUUAUCCAGCUUCAAUAGCCUAAAAAGCAUAAACAGAUGGGAAUCAAUUUAAGCUGUGGGCGUCUACUGGCUCUGCGGAAGUUAUCCCUGAAUGUGAACGGAAUCGAACAGAUCGCUUUCCCGGAAUGUCUUCACACAGAAAAGACAGCGUUAUUUCUAAAGCUUCAGAUACAUUACCUGCGGGAGAAUCCCAUCGUAAACCAGUGCGCAGCAUUUAACCAGCUGGACAAAUUGAGCGCGCUGCAACAUUUGACCAUGGACUCGGAUCAAUGCGUGAGUUAUUAAACAAUUACUUGAUUGGUUGCUUCCAUAGCUGGGUUGAAACCAUUCAAUCGAUCAAGAAUUACGGAAAAGCUUAGACGCGAUUCGGUGUGCGAUAUGUGGAAAAUGUAUGCCGUCCAAUGGGCACAUGUUAGCG